UACAGAGGUCUCAAGCGUUGUUCGGAUUCAUUGGGCGUAAAGGGUGCGUAGGUGGCUCUGUAAGUCAGGUGUGAAAUUUCGGAGCUUAACUCCGAAACUGCAUUUGAUACUGCGGUGCUUGAGGACUGGAGAGGAGACUGGAAUUUACGGUGUAGCAGUGAAAUGCGUAGAGAUCGGAAGGAAGACCAGUGGCGAAGGCGGGUCUCUGGACAGUUCCUGACACUGAGGCACGAAGGCCAGGGGAGCAAACGGG
RNAcentral lists this ribosomal RNA (253 nucleotides) under uncultured bacterium. RNAcentral's name for it is "partial 16S ribosomal RNA". It matches the Rfam family "Bacterial small subunit ribosomal RNA", at positions 524 to 776 of the family's 1533-position model. The record is from RNAcentral.